Long non-coding RNA from Electrophorus electricus (electric eel), 1742 nucleotides. RefSeq lists it as uncharacterized. Lineage: Eukaryota; Metazoa; Chordata; Actinopteri; Gymnotiformes; Gymnotidae. The record is from RefSeq and is a predicted model, not a curated record.
CAAAAAAACAACAAAAAAACCCCUGAAAAAUUCCUUGUUACCAUCAAUACAGAAGUGGUCACAAUUGUAUUAAAAUGUGUAUGCAUAUAGGGAAAGUAUAAACGCCAACACACCUGCCUGUCAUUUCAGCUAACAACUUACCCAGGUGGUUUCUCAGGUGUUUCCAUAUAUUCAGGUUGAUGUUGAUGAAAAUCUAUGGCCCAAUGCAGUAGACAGGAUAGAUUGUCCAGGCCAACAGUAGACGUCUGAUGCUGAUAGGCAGAUUUAUUGUAUAUUUUUCAUUUCUGAAGUACAGUAUAUUACACUGAGAACAAAUGGCAAAAUACAGUAAACCCUCAGAAGAACACUGGCUUUUAAAACUUAUUUCUUUAUCAUAUAUUUUUAUAUUAUACAGUAAAUAUUGUUAUUCGUGGCAUAUGUUAUAGCAGCAGUAGUCACAUUUGGAUGAAAAACGAAGUGUUUAAGUGCAUUUUGCACUAAUGAUUAUUGAUAACUGAUGUGCUAAGGUGUGUUUCAAAAGCACACUGUGUAAAGAGCUUUGAAGAAGUGGACAUGGUAUUGAAACAAGUGUGAAAAUUGUUGUAAAUAACUAAACAAAUACGGACUGUCUUAUAUUUCAGAUUCUUCAAAGUAGCCACCCUUUACUUCACUACUAGCAAUGCAUGCUCUUGGUAUUCUUUUAACUAGUUUCAUGAGGCAGCCAGCUUUGAUGUCUUGAAGAAACAUAGCUAUGCUGUAAAAAAAAUUCUGAAUACAAAAACACUUCUUAAAACACCUGUUAAAAAUUAAUUUGAACUUAUAUAUAUAUAUGACACCAUUAACUUUCACUAUUAUAUUUGUUUACAAAUAUAAUGAUGUGAUUGUCAAAAUAAUGUCAUUGUAUUUGGGAAUAGGCCCUUAACAAGCAGACUGUGAACCAAUUCCUUGGAAUACUGGCACCACCGAGCUGAGGAGGGAAGGGUAUCAGACUCAAAGAUAAAACAUCACCUUUGCACGAGAUGCAGUUCCGUCCUCCACAUUGCAAGCCACAGCUUGACCAUCUGAAAGCUUGAGGGAGCUGCUGGAGUGUUUGGUCAGGAUGACCAAAGCUCUACUGUACACACUGCUAUUGACAUAAGCAGAUAUAUGACUAGUGCUCACUUGCCAACAACAGAGGACCACCCUGAAGCACACUCCUGUAUUCCCUCAUCUCCAUACUCUGGCACAUCAGAAUCUUUCUCUGACUGCAAGCCCAGUAGGUGAUGAGCGCAUGCUCUCAAAAGCUGCUGCUAUCAUCAGUUAAAAAAAGGAACACCCCCUCCCCCAAAAGCGCCACAAUGCGAAAGAAUAAUAACGAAAGUUUUUUUGAAUAAAGGAUGACGCAGCAAACAAUAAGACCGAGUUAAAUCUUCAUUUUGCUUGUUUCAAUGCUGCGCCUAAUCACAGUAGCCUAGGUCAUCUAAAGUUUCUUCACAUAACAAUGUUGGAUAGAAACAUGACUUAAUUCAUAUUUUAGCCGUUCUAAGAUACCCUAGAAAUGUGGCAGAGCAACAUGGUGGUCUCUGUUGGAAGAUGGGCCAGUCUGUGUGUAGAUAUGAAGUGCUCAUUGUAUGCUAACGAAAACACAAUUCAUACUUACAGGUGGUUAUACACAAAUGAAAACAUGGUAUUGUAUACUUUCUGCCAAUAGGUCCCCUAAAUCCUACUCACUGCACCUUUAAGGGUUUAAAAUGUCGUCACCAUAUUUAAAAAAAAAAAAAAAA